Molecule: ribosomal RNA, 663 nt
Filed under: uncultured bacterium
Lineage: Bacteria
Description: bacterial SSU rRNA
Rfam family: Bacterial small subunit ribosomal RNA
Source: RNAcentral
CGCGGCCUAUCAGCUUGUUGGUGAGGUAACGGCUCACCAAGGCUUCGAUGGGUAGCUGGUCUGAGAGGACGAUCAGCCACACUGGAACUGAGACACGGUCCAGACUCCUACGGGAGGCAGCAGUCGGGAAUUUUGGGCAAUGGGCGCAAGCCUGACCCAGCGACGCCGCGUGAGCGAUGAAGGCCCUCGGGUCGUAAAGCUCUGUCGGGAGGGAAGAUGGGUUGUGAGGCGAAUAGUCUCGCGACUUGACGGUACCUCCAAAGGAAGCGCCGGCUAACUCCGUGCCAGCAGCCGCGGUAAUACGGAGGGCGCAAGCGUUGUUCGGAAUCACUGGGCGUAAAGCGCGUGUAGGCGGUCGGGAAAGUCGGAUGUGAAAUCCCGAGGCUCAACCUCGGAACUGCAUUCGAAACUCCCCGGCUAGAGUCCCGGAGAGGGUGGCGGAAUUCCCGGUGUAGGGGUGAAAUCCGUAGAUAUCGGGAGGAACAUCAGUGGCGAAGGCGGCCACCUGGACGGUGACUGACGCUGAGACGCGAAAGCGUGGGGAGCAAACAGGAUUAGAUACCCUGGUAGUCCACGCCGUAAACGGUGAGUGCUAGACGUCGCGGGUAUUGACCCCCGCGGUGUCGUAGUUAACGCGUUAAGCACCCCGCCUGGGGAGUACGG